This 497-nucleotide ribosomal RNA is filed under the name uncultured bacterium. RNAcentral describes it as "partial 16S ribosomal RNA". It matches the Rfam family "Bacterial small subunit ribosomal RNA", at positions 28 to 507 of the family's 1533-position model. The record is from RNAcentral.
GAUGAACGCUGGCGGCGUGCCUAAUACAUGCAAGUCGAGCGAACAGACGAGGAGCUUGCUCCCCUGACGUUAGCGGCGGACGGGUGAGUAACACGUGGAUAACCUACCAAUAAGACUGGGAUAAUUUCGGGAAACCGGAGCCAAUACCGGCUAAUAUAUUCAACCGCAUGGUUCAAUAGUGAAAGACGGUUUUGCUGUCACUUUUAGAUGGAUCCGCGCCGCAUUAGCUAGUUGGUAAGGUAACGGCUUACCAAGGCAACGAUGCGUAGCCGAGCUGAGAGGGUGAUCGGCCACACUGGAACUGAGACACGGUCCAGACUCCUACGGGAGGCAGCAGUAGGGAAUCUUCCGCAAUGGGCGAAAGCCUGACGGAGCAACGCCGCGUGAGUGAUGAAGGUCUUCGGAUCGUAAAACUCUGUUAUUAGGGAAGAACAAAUGUGUAAGUAACUAUGCACGUCUUGACGGUACCUAAUCAGAAAGCCACGGCUAACUACGUG